GACGAACGCUGGCGGCGUGCCUAAUACAUGCCAGUUGAGCGCUGAAGGUUGGUACUUGUACCGACUGGAUGAGCAGCGAACGGGUGAGUAACGCGUGGGGAAUCUGCCUUUGAGCGGGGGACAACAUUUGGAAACGAAUGCUAAUACCGCAUAAAAACUUUAAACACAAGUUUUAAGUUUGAAAGAUGCAAUUGCAUCACUCAAAGAUGAUCCCGCGUUGUAUUAGCUAGUUGGUGAGGUAAGGCUCACCAAGGCGAUGAUACAUAGCCGACCUGAGAGGGUGAUCGGCCACAUUGGGACUGGGACACGGCCCAAACUCCUACGGGAGGCAGCAGGAGGGAAUCUUCGGCAAUGGACGAAAGUCUGACCGAGCAACGCCGCGUGAGUGAAGAAGGGUUUCGGAUCGUAAAACUCUGUUGGUAGAGAAGAACGUUGGUGAGAGUGGAAAGCUCAUCAAGUGACGGUAACUACCCAGAAAGGGACGGCUAACUACGUG
RNAcentral lists this ribosomal RNA (496 nucleotides) under uncultured bacterium. Its description in RNAcentral is "partial 16S ribosomal RNA". It matches the Rfam family "Bacterial small subunit ribosomal RNA", at positions 28 to 507 of the family's 1533-position model. The record is from RNAcentral.